GAUGAACGCUGGCGGCGUGCCUAAUACAUGCAAGUCGAGCGAACGGACGAGAAGCUUGCUUCUCUGAUGUUAGCGGCGGACGGGUGAGUAACACGUGGAUAACCUACCUAUAAGACUGGGAUAACUUCGGGAAACCGGAGCUAAUACCGGAUAAUAUUUUGAACCGCAUGGUUCAAAAGUGAAAGACGGUCUUGCUGUCACUUAUAGAUGGAUCCGCGCUGCAUUAGCUAGUUGGUAAGGUAACGGCUUACCAAGGCAACGAUGCAUAGCCGACCUGAGAGGGUGAUCGGCCACACUGGAACUGAGACACGGUCCAGACUCCUACGGGAGGCAGCAGUAGGGAAUCUUCCGCAAUGGGCGAAGGCCUGACGGAGCAACGCCGCGUGAGUGAUGAAGGUCUUCGGAUCGUAAAACUCUGUUAUUAGGGAAGAACAUAUGUGUAAGUAACUGUGCUCAUCUUGACGGUACCUAAUCAGAAAGCCACGGCUAGCUACGUG
Molecule: ribosomal RNA, 497 nt
Filed under: uncultured bacterium
Lineage: Bacteria
Description: partial 16S ribosomal RNA
Rfam family: Bacterial small subunit ribosomal RNA
Source: RNAcentral